CCCUGUGCUUUGGCUGAAUUCAGCAAGGCCGGUCCCCGGAAACUGGACUUCUACUUCCGGGUCAGAGCCAUGGCGGUGGCAAAUUCAAGUCCAGUCAAUCCGGUGGUCUUCUUUGAUGUCAGCAUCGGCGGCCAGGAGGUUGGUCGCAUGAAGAUCGAGCUGUUUGCAGACGUGGUGCCUAAGACGGCAGAGAACUUCAGGCAAUUCUGCACUGGAGAGUUCAGAAAAGAUGGUGUUCCAAUAGGAUACAAAGGAAGCACCUUCCAUAGGGUCAUAAAGGAUUUCAUGAUUCAGGGUGGAGAUUUUGUUAAUGGAGAUGGUACUGGAGUUGCUAGCAUUUACCGAGGCCCAUUUGCAGAUGAAAAUUUCAAACUUAGACACUCAGCUCCAGGCCUGCUUUCCAUGGCAAACAGUGGUCCCAGUACAAACGGCUGCCAGUUCUUUAUCACAUGUUCUAAGUGUGAUUGGCUGGAUGGGAAGCAUGUAGUGUUUGGAAAAAUCAUUGAUGGACUUCUGGUGAUGAGGAAAAUCGAGGUUGGUCCUGCUUGGGUGUCCUCGUGGUAGCCUUUUUGGUCAGGAUCCUUGGUGACCUGUACUCUGCCUACCCCUCCAUGACCCCUUCUGCCACUGCCUUCUCUGUCCAGUGGCAUCAAGCUCCUGGCUUUUCUCUAAGGAGAUUGGCCAUACAGAAUGUUCCCACAGGCCCUAACAAUAAACCCAAAUUGCCGGUGGUAAUCUCACAGUGUGGGGAAAUGUAAUCUAGACCAAGACUGAACCAGGUCUUCUGCUGUUCUAGGUGACAUUCUCCCUUGAGUCUGACAAGCUGGACUAACCUGUGUUUGGGUCCCUGCCUGUGAUCCAGGACCUGGAAGUAUCACAGAUCAGAACAAAGAUCUUGUUUAAAUUUUGAACUGUAAAUAAAGGAUUUUUUUUUUUAAUUCA
This is a non-coding RNA of Cricetulus griseus (Chinese hamster), 942 nucleotides long. Lineage: Eukaryota; Metazoa; Chordata; Mammalia; Rodentia; Cricetidae. The record is from RefSeq and is a predicted model, not a curated record.